CCUACGGGCGGCUGCAGUGAGGAAUAUUGGUCAAUGGGCGCAAGUCUGAACCAGCCAUGCCGCGUGAAGGAAGAAGGCUCUCUGUAUUGUAAACUGCUUUUGUAGGGGAGUAAAUCCCGAUACGUGUCUCGGGAUGAGCGUAUCCUACGAAUAAGCAUCGGCUAACUCCGUGCCAGCAGCCGCGGUAAUACGGAGGAUUCAAGCGUUAUCCGGAUUUAUUGGGUUUAAAGGGUGCGUAGGCGGGUAGAUAAGUUAGCGGGGAAAGCGCGGGGCUCAACCCCGGCCCGGCCUUUGAGACUGUCGGGCUAGAGUGGAGUUGAGGUAGGCGGAAUGCAUGGUGUAGCGGUGAAAUGCAUAGAGAUCACACAGAACACCGAUUGCGAAGGCAGCUUACCAAACUACGACUGACGUUGAGGCACGAAAGCGUGGGGAGCAAACAGGAUUAGAUACCCGAGUAGUC
RNAcentral lists this ribosomal RNA (460 nucleotides) under uncultured bacterium. RNAcentral describes it as "partial 16S ribosomal RNA". It matches the Rfam family "Bacterial small subunit ribosomal RNA", at positions 338 to 795 of the family's 1533-position model. The record is from RNAcentral.